This is a non-coding RNA of Vicugna pacos (alpaca), 1377 nucleotides long. NCBI's taxonomy places the organism in Eukaryota, Metazoa, Chordata, Mammalia, Artiodactyla, Camelidae. The record is from RefSeq and is a predicted model, not a curated record.
CUUCUCUUUGCCUCUUUAAAAUAAAUUGGCCUGUACAGGCUGCCAUGAGGCUGAGCUAUUUCAAGUGCAUAACUCAGGGUGACGGGUACGCCAUCCACCAGGCCAGGAUUUGGCCUGCCUUAUAAUCUCUUGCUUUUAUUCGCUGUAGCUCUCUCUCUCUCUCUGGACCACAAGAGUCAGCCCUGAGAGCAGCAUGGAGCUCGGACAGUUGGAAGAUGCGUUGUGUGGGCUGAAUUCGUUGGUGCACGCACGAUUCCUGUCUCUCUCCGUGAAUACAGCUUUCAGCAGCCCCUCGUGCCAAGUUUGAGUCCAAUUAAACUACAAUGAGAGGCCCAGGUGCUGAGAACAGUUCCAGCUGGCUAAGAAGCGAAGGUCAGAGAGACCCGAGCUCGCCAGACCCUGAAUCCCAGAAGCUUAAAACAUCAUCAGAGUUUCUCCUACCAGCUCAGGGACCUAUGGCUCUUUUAGUAGUCCUUAAAAAAAAAAAAAAAAAAAAAAAAAAAGACAGCAAAAGCUCAACCUAAAAUGAAAGAGAUCAGUUUAAUUAUGUAUGCGUAAAAAAAUAAUCAAGAUCAAAAAAUGCUUUCAUUUUCCUGGGGGAAUUUUUUUGGUUGGAAAUACAAAUGGUUGCUGUUCUUGCCUAGAAGAUGGAAAAGACACUUGAGCCUACAGCAGGCAAGGGUUUACGGAACGGUGGCUGCUGCUCUUCGCCCGGCCCUGGGAAGGGGGUGAUGAACACGGUCUGAAAUCAAUAUCAGGGAACAGUUACUGCAUCUCAAUAUUAUCUGCCGAGAUGGGCUGCUGGAAGAGGAUGGGGGAAGAGGGAGGUAUGUCGAUAGCUUUAACGAAGCACUCCACAGCCAUGCACAAAGGGAGGUCAGAUAACUCUCGGCAGACCAACCCCCAUUGUAAGUAGUAAAAAUGAUAAAAUCAAUAUUAUUAAAUAAAAAGUUAGCACUGCUAUUGAACCCUCUCACGAUCUUGGCAGCGCCUGGCUGAAAACGAAGGAGGCUAUUUUCCAGUCUCUUCAGGGGCAAAUAUUUAGGAUCGUGAACAUUUGCAAAAUGUGGGGGGAGAGACAUACUUUUCACAUAAAAACUGGGCCGUGGGAACAUCUGAACAAGAGGGCCAGGUAACUGUUGCCUUGGAAGACAGCGAUCCUGCCCAGCCAGGUGAACAUGCACUCCGAGGGCCACUAAAGGUCACGUCAUUUGCAGCUGGACUUUGCUCCUUGGUCCUUCAGGGUGACAGAGGUCAGACUGGCUCAGGGCUUUCCAGGAAAAGAGAAAGGUGCUACUUACUCUCCUUUCAAACCUUGAGACUUGGAAAAGCACCAGAAAAAAAUCAUGGAGGAGAAAAAGGGGAGGGAAAAAAAAA